GCAUAGUAUCUGUGGAUUAAAGGUGGCUUUUGGGCUGUCGCAGAUGGAUGAGCCUGCGUUGGAUUAGCUAGUUGGUGGGGUAAGGGCCUACCAAGGCUACGAUCCAUAGCUGAUUUGAGAGGAUGAUCAGCCACAUUGGGACUGAGACACGGCCCAAACUCCUACGGGAGGCAGCAGUGAGGAAUAUUGGACAAUGGGGGCAACCCUGAUCCAGCAAUGCCAUGUGUGUGAAGAAGGCCUUAGGGUUGUAAAGCACUUUAGUUGGGGAAGAAAGCUUUGAGGUUAAUAGCCUUGAGGAAAAGGACGUUACCCAAAGAAUAAGCACCGGCUAACUCCGUGCCAGCAGCCGCGGUAAUACGGGGGGUGCAAGCGUUAAUCGGAAUUACUGGGCGUAAAGGGUCUGUAGGUGGUUUGUUAAGUCAGAUGUGAAAGCCUAGGGCUCAACCUUGGAACUGCAUUUGAUACUGGUAAACUAGAGUACGGUAGAGGAAUGGGGAAUUUCUGGUGUAGCGGUGAAAUGCGUAGAGAUCAGAAGGAACACCAAUGGCGAAGGCAACAUUCUGGACCGAUACUGACACUGAGGGACGAAAGCGUGGGGAUCAAACAGGAUUAGAUACCCUGGUAGUCCACGCUGUAAACGAUGAGUACUAGCUGUUGGAGUCGGUGUAAAGGCUCUAGUGGCGCAGCUAACGCGAUAAGUACUCCGCCUGGGGACUACGGCCGCAAGGCUAAAACUCAAAGGAAUUGACGGGGACCCGCACAAGCGGUGGAGCAUGUAGUUUAAUUCGAUGCAACGCGAAGAACCUUACCUGGUCUUGACAUCCUGCGAUCUUUCUAGAGAUAGAUUGGUGCCUUCGGGAACGCAGUGACAGGUGCUGCACGGCUGUCGUCAGCUCGUGUUGUGAAAUG
RNAcentral lists this ribosomal RNA (909 nucleotides) under Francisella endosymbiont of Dermacentor andersoni. Its description in RNAcentral is "bacterial SSU rRNA". It matches the Rfam family "Bacterial small subunit ribosomal RNA", at positions 171 to 1074 of the family's 1533-position model. Lineage: Bacteria; Pseudomonadati; Pseudomonadota; Gammaproteobacteria; Thiotrichales; Francisellaceae. The record is from RNAcentral.